CUGAAGGCUGAAAUUCGCCUUCACGAAGUCGGAAUUGCUAGUAAUGGCAGGUCAGCAUACUGCCGUGAAUACGUUCCCGGGCCUUGUACACACCGCCCGUCACACCAUGAGAGUUAGGAAUACCCGAAGCCUGUGAGCCAACUUUAUAAGAGGCAGCAGUCGAAGGUAGAACUAAUGAUUGGGGUGAAGUCGUAACAAGGUACC
RNAcentral lists this ribosomal RNA (204 nucleotides) under uncultured bacterium. Its description in RNAcentral is "partial 16S ribosomal RNA". It matches the Rfam family "Bacterial small subunit ribosomal RNA", at positions 1298 to 1500 of the family's 1533-position model. The record is from RNAcentral.